UGGGGAAUAUUGGACAAUGGGGGCCAACCCUGAUCCAGCCAUGCCGCGUGAGUGAUGAAGGCCUUCGGGUUGUAAAGCUCUUUUGGCGGGGACGAUGAUGACGGUACCCGCAGAAUAAGCCCCGGCUAACUUCGUGCCAGCAGCCGCGGUAAGACGAAGGGGGCUAGCGUUGUUCGGAAUUACUGGGCGUAAAGCGAGUGUAGGCGGUUGCCGUAGUCAGGUGUGAAAGCCUUGAGCUCAACUCAAGAAAUGCACUUGAUACUGGGUGACUAGAGGACCGGAGAGGAUAGUGGAAUUCCCAGUGUAGUGGUGAAAUACGUAGAGAUUGGGAAGAACACCAGUGGCGAAGGCGGCUAUCUGGACGGUUACUGACGCUAAGACUCGAGAGCGUGGGGGAGCAAACAGGAUUAGAUACCCUGGUAGUCCACGCCGUAAACGAUGGGUGCUAGACGUUGGCGAGCUUGCUCGUCAGUGUCGCGGCUAACGCGUUAAGGCACCCCCGCCUGGGGAGUACGGCCGCAAGGUUGAAAACUCAAAAUUGAAUUGACGGGGGUCAUAGCUG
RNAcentral lists this ribosomal RNA (562 nucleotides) under uncultured bacterium. RNAcentral describes it as "partial 16S ribosomal RNA". It matches the Rfam family "Bacterial small subunit ribosomal RNA", at positions 355 to 928 of the family's 1533-position model. The record is from RNAcentral.